CCUACGGGUGGCUGCAGUGAGGAAUAUUGGUCAAUGGGCGCGAGCCUGAACCAGCCAAGUCGCGUGAGGGAAGACGGUCCUAUGGAUUGUAAACCUCUUUUGUCGGGGAGCAAAAGACGCCACGCGUGGCGUUCCGAGAGUACCCGAAGAACAAGCAUCGGCUAACUCCGUGCCAGCAGCCGCGGUAAUACGGAGGAUGCGAGCGGUAUCCGGAUAUAUUGGGUUUAAAGGGUGCGCAGGCGGAAGAGCAAGUCAGCGGUAAAAUUGAGAGGCUCAACCUCUUCGAGCCGUUGAAACUGGUUGUCUUGAGUGAGUGAGAAGUAUGCGGAAUGCGUGGUGUAGCGGUGAAAUGCAUAGAUAUCACGCAGAACUCCGAUUGCGAAGGCAGCAUACCGGCGCUCAACUGACGCUCAUGCACGAAAGUGUGGGUAUCGAACAGGAUUAGAUACCCGGGGAGUC
RNAcentral lists this ribosomal RNA (459 nucleotides) under uncultured bacterium. RNAcentral's name for it is "partial 16S ribosomal RNA". It matches the Rfam family "Bacterial small subunit ribosomal RNA", at positions 338 to 795 of the family's 1533-position model. The record is from RNAcentral.